RNAcentral lists this ribosomal RNA (249 nucleotides) under uncultured Actinomycetales bacterium. RNAcentral's name for it is "partial 16S ribosomal RNA". It matches the Rfam family "Bacterial small subunit ribosomal RNA", at positions 81 to 334 of the family's 1533-position model. The record is from RNAcentral. Lineage: Bacteria; Bacillati; Actinomycetota; Actinomycetes; Actinomycetales.
CAGGGGUACUCGAGUGGCGAACGGGUGAGUAACACGUGGGUGAUCUGCCUUGCACUCUGGGAUAAGCUUGGGAAACUGGGUCUAAUACCGGAUAGGAACCGUCUUUAGUGUGGUGGUUGGAAAGUUUUUUCGGUGCAAGAUGAGCUCGCGGCCUAUCAGCUUGUUGGUGGGGUAAUGGCCUACCAAGGCGUCGACGGGUAGCCGGCCUGAGAGGGUGUACGGCCACAUUGGGACUGAGAUACGGCCCAG